GAUACCUGGGCAGGCCAUCUGUCAGGAUGUUCACGGGGGACUUGGAGCACCGUAGUCCCCCACCCCAGCAGACAUGGUCCUGGCACUUUUCCAUCUUCCUUGGAGAAAGCAUCAAAAUCAAGCCCUCAGCGUAACUCCUGGCCCCCAGGAGCAGCAAAGCAGGUGUCAGCAGCUCUUGCUGAGGAGAGGAGGCUGUUGGCAGCUGGGACACGAGUCAUCCAAGGAAAUGUAUCACCCGCCUCCAGUGAAAACCAUCCCAAAAGAACUGCAAGAGAUACUAGCAGUCUUACAACUCUGGCUUUCCCAGACGACAUACAGGGACCGAGGUCCUCAGUCUAUCAACUUUGUGCAUUCAGGGAGGUCAGGGGAACACUUUUUAAAAAAAAAAUAAGACCGGGGAAAUGACCUGAAGGUCAUUUUUCCCUGAAGCCUCCCGAGGAACAUCAAGAUUUUCAUGAGAGAAGUAGAGGCAUCUUGGCUCCCUACCACGAGGGCUGUGGUUUGGGUGCUCAUUGCAGGGUGUGGGGAACCUCACUUCAAUGCUGUGUUCUGGACCAGACUGAUCAGGCUCAAUGUUACCCAACAGGUAAGUGUCCAAAUCAGUUGGUUUGGGGUGAAAAUUCCAUCCUCUGCUGAUAAACAGCAUUGCUCAAACUAAUGAAUUUCUCCAAAAACAAAACAAACAAACAAAAACUUGAUUUCAACCAACUGGCAUUUUAUCAAGGAAUCCCCGACCUGCUUGGAUUUUUUCCACUUGAAAGCAUGUGCCAAAAGCUGGAAUAGCUCCUCAUCUGAACAAUAAUAUUGCAAAAGCUGUACAAAGCAAGGCCUGAGCCAAUGGACUGAAUAAAAUAGAUAGGCUCUAUUAAAAUAGAUGUAUUUCUUUGUAGCACGUUUUGGAAUAAGUCUACAAGAACAGAAACAGAGGCUUGAGCAUGCCAAUGUGUCAGAGCGGUGGCUUUCCACACAAGAAGACAACCCUACAUUCUGGGAUUUAGAAUGACUUCGAAACAUAUCUUCCUGACAUUUGUUCAUUGGCUAAUUUAUUGCUCUGAAGUGUCAGCCUGACUUCUUGCCAUUAGUAACAGCAUCAUCAAUAUCUGGGCAUUCACAUCAUCUGUGUGGCUGGUGCAUCUACUCUUGAAGUGCCUUCCUGCUUAGUACUGAAUAUAAAGAGCUGUGUCUAACACAGAGGGAAACCAUUAAAAACUAUUGGUAGAAAGCAAAAAAAA
Long non-coding RNA from Oxyura jamaicensis (ruddy duck), 1232 nucleotides. RefSeq lists it as uncharacterized. The record is from RefSeq and is a predicted model, not a curated record. The transcript has 2 exons. Lineage: Eukaryota; Metazoa; Chordata; Aves; Anseriformes; Anatidae.